GAAAUGCGAUAAGUAAUGUGAAUUGCAGAAUUCUGUGAAUCAUCGAAUCUUUGAACGCACAUUGCGCCCGCCAGUAUUCUGGCGGGCAUGCCUGUUCGAGCGUCAUUUCAACCAUCAAGCCCCCGGCUUGUGUUGGGGACCUGCGGCUGCCCGCAGGCCCUGAAAAACAGUGGCGGGCUCGCUGUCACACCGAGCGUAGUAGCAUACAUUCUCGCUCAGGGCGUGCUGCGGGUUCCGGCCGUUAAACGACCUUCAUAACCCAAGGUUGACCUCGGAUCAGGUAGGAAGACCCGCUGAACUUAAGC
Molecule: unclassified non-coding RNA, 305 nt
Filed under: plant metagenome
Description: partial contains 5.8S ribosomal RNA, internal transcribed spacer 2, and large subunit ribosomal RNA
Rfam family: 5.8S ribosomal RNA (bases 1-105)
Source: RNAcentral